This 1185-nucleotide ribosomal RNA is filed under the name uncultured Alphaproteobacteria bacterium. RNAcentral's name for it is "bacterial SSU rRNA". It matches the Rfam family "Bacterial small subunit ribosomal RNA", at positions 58 to 1313 of the family's 1533-position model. The record is from RNAcentral. Lineage: Bacteria; Pseudomonadati; Pseudomonadota; Alphaproteobacteria.
CAAGUCGAACGCAGUAGCAAUACUGAGUGGCAAACGGGUGAGUAUAAUGUGGGAAUCUGCCUUUUGGUUUGGAAUAACAUGGGGAAACUUGUGCUAAUACCGAAUAAGCCCUUACGGGGAAAGUUUUAAUGCCGAAAGAUGAGCCCGCACUUGAUUAGCUAGUUGGUAAGGUAAAAGCUUACCAAGGCAAUGAUCAAUAGCUGUUCUUAGAGGAAGACCAGCCACAUUGGGACUGAGACACGGCCCAGACUCCUACGGGAGGCAGCAGUGGGGAAUCUUGCACAAUGGGGGAAACCCUGAUGCAGCGAUGCCGCGUGAGUGAAGAAGGCCUUUGGGUUGUAAAACUCUUUCGUCGGGGAAGAAAAUGACUGUACCCGAAUAAGAAGGUCCGGCUAACUUCGUGCCAGCAGCCGCGGUAAUACGAAGGGACCUAGCGUAGUUCGGAAUUACUGGGCUUAAAGAGCUCGUAGGUGGUUAAAAAAGUUGAUGGUGAAAUCCCAGGGCUCAACCUUGGAACUGCCAUCAAAACUUUUUAGCUAGAGUGUGAUAGAGGUAAGUGGAAUUUCUAGUGUAGAGGUGAAAUUCGUAGAUAUUAGAAAGAACACCAAAUGCGAAGGCAACUUACUGGGUCACUACUGACACUGAGGAGCGAAAGCAUGGGUAGCGAAGAGGAUUAGAUACCCUCGUAGUCCAUGCCGUAAACGAUGUGUGCUAGACGUUGGAAAUAUAUUUUUCAGUGUCGCAGCGAAAGCAUUAAGCACACCGCCUGGGGAGUACGACCGCAAGGUUAAAACUCAAAUGAAUUGACGGGGACCCGCACAAGCAGUGGAGCAUGUGUUUAAUUCGAAGAUACGCGCAGAACCUUACCAACACUUGACAUGUUCGUCGCGAGCCUAAGAGAUUAGGCUUUUCAGUUUGGCUGGACGAAACACAGGUGCUGCAUGACUGUCGUCAGCUCGUGUCGUGAGAUGUUGGGUUAGUCCCGCAACGAGCGCAACCCCUACUUUUAGUGCCACCAUUUAGUGGACACUUUAAAAGACUGCAGUGAUAGCUGGAGAAGUGGGAUGACGUCAGUCUCAUGCCCUUAUGUGUGGCUACACACGUGCUACAUGACCUACAAUGGAGCAAAGAGGCGACCUCUAGCUAUCCUAAGUGUCUCCAGUUCGGAAUUGACCUCUGUAAUCG